Molecule: long non-coding RNA, 401 nt
Organism: Carassius carassius (crucian carp)
Lineage: Eukaryota; Metazoa; Chordata; Actinopteri; Cypriniformes; Cyprinidae
Exons: 3
Source: RefSeq, a predicted model, not a curated record
AUAAUGCUGUCAUGUCCUAUUAUACCCUAAACUUUUAUAUACCAUUAAAUCAUGAUAUUUAAUAUGAUUUGAAAUUGUGUGCAGUUUGAUUUAGUUCAAUUCUACAAAAACGUGCAGAUUAUUGUACUUUCAGAACAAACAACUUCCUGUGAAUGUAGCAGUCCAUCAUGUCUGUAUUCCUGGACAUUGUUCAUGUUAUCAGACACUGUGUUUUUCCCCUUCUUAACUUACUCAGUGUUCUUCCUUGGUGGGCCCCUGAGGGUCUCAGGACAGAAAAGGUGGGUGAGCACUCCAGCCGUCUCCAUGAUGCUCUGCCUGAGAGACGCCCACUGGAGCUGAGAAAGAUGGAGUGGGUGGACGAGCACUCCAGCUGUCGCUAUGGUCUACCUGAGAGAUGCCCA